This 526-nucleotide ribosomal RNA is filed under the name uncultured bacterium. RNAcentral's name for it is "bacterial SSU rRNA". It matches the Rfam family "Bacterial small subunit ribosomal RNA", at positions 28 to 526 of the family's 1533-position model. The record is from RNAcentral.
GACGAACGCUGGCGGCGUGCCUAAUACAUGCAAGUCGAACGCUGAUUUUCUAACUAAUGCUUGCAUUGACUUGAAAAUCGGAGUGGCGAACGGGUGAGUAACACGUGGGUAACCUGCCCAUCAGAAGGGGAUAACACUUGGAAACAGGUGCUAAUACCGUAUAACACUAUUUUCCGCAUGGAAGAAAGUUGAAAGGCGCUUUUGCGUCACUGAUGGAUGGACCCGCGGUGCAUUAGCUAGUUGGUGAGGUAACGGCUCACCAAGGCAACGAUGCAUAGCCGACCUGAGAGGGUGAUCGGCCACACUGGGACUGAGACACGGCCCAGACUCCUACGGGAGGCAGCAGUAGGGAAUCUUCGGCAAUGGACGAAAGUCUGACCGAGCAACGCCGCGUGAGUGAAGAAGGUUUUCGGAUCGUAAAACUCUGUUGUUAGAGAAGAACAAGGAUGAGAGUAAAACGUUCAUCCCUUGACGGUAUCUAACCAGAAAGCCACGGCUAACUACGUGCCAGCAGCCGCCGUAAGAC